GAUGAAGAACUUAGCGAAAUGCGAUAAGUAAUGUGAAUUGCAGAAUUCCGUGAAUCAUCGAAUCUUUGAACGCACAUUGCGCCCCCUGGCAUUCCGGGGGGCAUGCCUGUCCGAGCGUCAUUUCUGCCCUCCAGCCCGGCUGGGUGUUGGGCGCUGUCCCCCCGGGGACACGCCCCAAAGGCAGUGGCGGCGCCGCGUCGGGUCCUCGAGCGUAUGGGGCUUUGUCACCCGCUCGGGACGGACUCGUCGGCGCUGGUCUUCCUCCAGGCGACCCUUCGGGGCUCGUCUUCCUUCGGUUGACCUCGGAUCAGGUAGGGUUACCCGCUGAACUUAAGCAUAUCAAUAAGCGGAGGA
RNAcentral lists this unclassified non-coding RNA (354 nucleotides) under soil metagenome. RNAcentral's name for it is "partial contains 5.8S ribosomal RNA, internal transcribed spacer 2, and large subunit ribosomal RNA". The stretch from base 1 to 120 matches the Rfam family "5.8S ribosomal RNA", at positions 35 to 154 of the family's 154-position model. The record is from RNAcentral.